This 332-nucleotide long non-coding RNA is filed under the name Cyanistes caeruleus (blue tit). Its description in RNAcentral is "lncRNA (ENSCCEG00000015938.1)". The record is from RNAcentral. Lineage: Eukaryota; Metazoa; Chordata; Aves; Passeriformes; Paridae.
CCGGGGGAAGCGGGCGGGCCGGGGCUCCCCGUUGCCGGGCAACGCGAGCCCCAGCAGGGGCAGCGGCACCCGAGCCAGGCCGCGCUGGGCUGCUAGAGCACCCGGGGUUUGCACGGGGAAUGCCCUUCCACCUGCAUCCUCCCUCAGAGCCGCAUAUUUUAGGUUCACAAAGGAGGCAGGAAACUACAGCAGAAGAAACCGAUUUUCCAGAUAGGAACAACAGGAGCAAACUGAAGUGGUUACAGCACAAGUUUGAGGACUUUCCUCUUGGUCGUGAAAGCUCUAUUUAUAAGGCAGUUUUGUCAACCAAAAAGAAAGAAAAAAAUGCAUGA